CAAUGAUGUCGUUCGAUAUACAAAGCAAGUUCUACGCCGAACACUCCGUCCUGGAUAUAUGAUUAUGAACGGUGACUGUAAAGGGACCGUGCAAUUUCGAAGAUAAGGCGAGCUGGAAGAGAUGCUUGUCAAGAAUUACGGAAACAGCGCCAUCAUCUGACGAUGGCGCGCACGAGUAAACGGAUGCAUUUCGAGAUGGCUGCAUUGGCGUAACCAGUCAAUGAUCGAUCGGCUGGAAAUCUCCGCAACGAUACCGGGCAGAAUUAACCCUUGAGAUACUCUCCGUGUGUCUCACGGGCCCUUCAGUCACUUGAAAUUAUUGGCGAGCACGGAGUAUUCAGAGGCGAUGUUUUCGCGUGGCUAAUUAACGUCUCACACGAACGGAUAUCCAAUUUUGCAUCCUACGUGCGAACGUGAAGAGCGGAUUUUUAAUCGAGUCCAACGAAAGGAGGCAUUAAACGAUUCCAAAGCGUCCUAUCAGGUUUUACGAGCAGCGUCUAAAGUUGUUUUACUGUUGCUGAUAUUGAGGUUACGCGAAACGCCGGUUCACCACCGACUAUUCCAAGUAUUUUAGUACGCUCGUUAUUCUGUUUGUCUGGUAAACGCGCAUAGAAAUAGCGAAUGAUACAACUUUUUUCACGCGUUCUUGACCUUUCGACAGAACGACCGUCCUCCCCGCGCGUUC
Molecule: long non-coding RNA, 685 nt
Organism: Eufriesea mexicana
Lineage: Eukaryota; Metazoa; Arthropoda; Insecta; Hymenoptera; Apidae
Exons: 4
Source: RefSeq, a predicted model, not a curated record